RNAcentral lists this long non-coding RNA (874 nucleotides) under Anser brachyrhynchus (Pink-footed goose). RNAcentral describes it as "lncRNA (ENSABRG00000001784.1)". The record is from RNAcentral. Lineage: Eukaryota; Metazoa; Chordata; Aves; Anseriformes; Anatidae.
AGAAACAGCAAAUCACCCUCUAAGCAUCUCCAUGUAUAAGGUUGCUGCUCCAACUUACACCAGAGCUGAAAUGCAGCCUAUGUUCUUUCUCUUUUCAGGUAGGGAUGAAUACCAUCCAGGAACAAAAGAACAAGUGAAUAAAGUGUCCUAAGCAAUUUUUGCAAAGAAUAUACAUUUUUAAGUUGUUCUGGAGAUGAUAAGGAUUGGACCUUAGCACCAGCAACCUCCAGCAGACUGCAAUGGCUCUGCCUUUAAUACACUUCCACCCGUGUGUGUUAUACAGCCGUAAUACUGAACACAUGAGGCAGACAGCUGCCCUGAGGCAUUCUCUGUUAAAAACUUUCAUAUCACUACGGAACUGAAUGCACCAUUAUAACACCACGUCUCCUCUUCUUCACUCUGCUGCUUCCUCAUAACUGAGACCUGUGUAGUGCAAAUGAAAGCAGUUUUCUGGAUGAAGCAACCUUUUCCUCAGAGUCUUGGGCUCCACAUCCACUCCCUGCCAGGACAGGUGCAUCCCACACAGUUUGUGUCCAGCCUUCCUCUAUCAGGCAUGCUGUAACUUCUGCCGUUUUUUUCAGCCCACAGUGAGUCAACCUGGGCAUAGCUGAAGGAAUACCAAAACAGGUGCAGCCCAGGAAUGUGUGACCAGCUAGGAAUUAUCCCCAUCUUUUCCUCUCCCAGAGAAGGCUACUUAAAACUCUUGGAUGAACAUCCACCAGCUGUUAUCCAAUGAACAGAAGUUAAAUAUGCAGCGGGGGGCAGGGUGAGGGGAAUUAGCCUGCCCAUACAGCCUACACGUGGGUGCGAGAAAAAGGGUAAGUAAAACGGAAGCAAAAAAGCUUUUAGCCUUAUAUUCCCCUGGAUUCCUCAA